UGGUGCAUGGUUGUCGUCAGCUCGUGUCGUGAGAUGUUGGGUUAAGUCCCGCAACGAGCGCAACCCUUGUCUUUAGUUGCCAUCAUUAAGUUGGGCACUCUAGAGAGACUGCCAGGGAUAACCUGGAGGAAGGUGGGGAUGACGUCAAAUCAUCAUGCCCCUUAUGCUUAGGGCUACACACGUGCUACAAUGGGUAGUACAGAGGGUUGCCAAGCCGUAAGGUGGAGCUAAUCCCUUAAAGCUACUCUCAGUUCGGAUUGUAGGCUGAAACUCGCCUACAUGAAGCUGGAGUUACUAGUAAUCGCAGAUCAGAAUGCUGCGGUGAAUGCGUUCCCGGGUCUUGUACACACCGCCCGUCACACCACGGGAGUUGGAGACGCCCGAAGCCGAUUAUCUAACCUUUUGGAAGAAGUCGUCGAAGGUGGAAUCAAUAACUGGGGUGAAGUCGUAACAAGGUAGCCGUAUCGGAAGGUGCGGCUGGAUC
This 484-nucleotide ribosomal RNA is filed under the name Clostridioides difficile. Its description in RNAcentral is "bacterial SSU rRNA". It matches the Rfam family "Bacterial small subunit ribosomal RNA", at positions 1039 to 1524 of the family's 1533-position model. The record is from RNAcentral. Lineage: Bacteria; Bacillati; Bacillota; Clostridia; Peptostreptococcales; Peptostreptococcaceae.